CAAGAUAUCGUAUAAUAGUUAAUACAAUUACUUUGGGAGUAAUAAAUAUAGGUGCGAUUCCUGUUAUCCUGA
This 72-nucleotide transfer RNA is filed under the name Gefionella okellyi. Its description in RNAcentral is "tRNA-Pro". It matches the Rfam family "tRNA". From Rfam's summary of the family: Transfer RNA (tRNA) molecules are approximately 80 nucleotides in length. Their secondary structure includes four short double-helical elements and three loops (D, anti-codon, and T loops). The record is from RNAcentral. Lineage: Eukaryota; Malawimonada; Malawimonadea; Malawimonadida; Malawimonadidae.